RNAcentral lists this ribosomal RNA (404 nucleotides) under uncultured bacterium. Its description in RNAcentral is "bacterial SSU rRNA". It matches the Rfam family "Bacterial small subunit ribosomal RNA", at positions 355 to 776 of the family's 1533-position model. The record is from RNAcentral.
CAGGGAAUAUUGGUAAUCUGCGAAAGCGGGAACCAGCAACGCCGCGUGUGCGAUGAAGGCCUUCGGGUCGUAAAGCACUUUUCGAGGAGAUGAGGAAGGACAGUAUCCUCGGAAUAAGUCUCGGCUAACUACGUGCCAGCAGCCGCGGUAAAACGUAGGAGGCGAGCGUUAUCCGGAUUUACUGGGCGUAAAGCGUGUGCAGGCGGUUCGGUAAGUUGGAUGUGAAAGCUCCUGGCUCAACUAGGAGAGGUCGUUCAAUACUGCUGGACUUGAGGAUGGUAGAGGGAGGUGGAAUUCCGGGUGUAGUGGUGAAAUGCGUAGAUAUCCGGAGGAACACCAGUGGCGAAAGCGGCCUCCUGGACCAUUUCUGACGCUCAGACACGAAAGCUAGGGGAGCAAACGGG